AUACGGAGGGUGCGAGCGUUGUUCGGAAUUAUUGGGCGUAAAGAGCAUGUAGGCGGUCUGUUAAGUCUGGUGUGAAAGCCCGGGGCUCAACCCCGGAAGUGCAUUGGAUACUGGCAGACUGGAGUAUGGGAGAGGAAAGCGGAAUUCCGAGUGUAGGAGUGAAAUCCGUAGAUAUUCGGAGGAACACCAGUGGCGAAGGCGGCUUUCUGGACCAAUACUGACGCUGAGAUGCGAAAGCGUGGGGAGCGAACAGGAUUAGAAACCCCAGUAGUCC
This 274-nucleotide ribosomal RNA is filed under the name uncultured bacterium. RNAcentral describes it as "partial 16S ribosomal RNA". It matches the Rfam family "Bacterial small subunit ribosomal RNA", at positions 523 to 796 of the family's 1533-position model. The record is from RNAcentral.